GAUGAACGCUAGCGGCAGGCCUAACACAUGCAAGUCGAGGGGCAUCGGGAAUGAAGCUUGCUUCAUUUGCCGGCGACCGGCGCACGGGUGCGUAACGCGUAUGUAACCUACCUUAGACAGGGGGAUAACACUGAGAAAUUGGUACUAAUACCCCAUAACACAUCGAGAGGCAUCUCUUGAUGUUGAAAGUUCCGGCGGUUUAAGAUGGACAUGCGUUGUAUUAGCUAGUUGGUGAGGUAACGGCUCACCAAGGCGACGAUACAUAGGGGGACUGAGAGGUUAACCCCCCA
This 290-nucleotide ribosomal RNA is filed under the name uncultured bacterium. RNAcentral's name for it is "partial 16S ribosomal RNA". It matches the Rfam family "Bacterial small subunit ribosomal RNA", at positions 28 to 310 of the family's 1533-position model. The record is from RNAcentral.